GACGAACGCUGGCGGCGUGCCUAAUACAUGCAAGUUGAGCGCUGAAGGUUGGUACUUGUACCAACUGGAUGAGCAGCGAACGGGUGAGUAACGCGUGGGGAAUCUGCCUUUGAGCGGGGGACAACAUUUGGAAACGAAUGCUAAUACCGCAUAAAAACUUUAAACACAAGUUUUAAGUUUGAAAGAUGCAAUUGCAUCACUCAAAGAUGAUCCCGCGUUGUAUUAGCUAGUUGGUGAGGUAAAGGCUCACCAAGGCGAUGAUACAUAGCCGACCUGAGAGGGUGGUCGGCCACAUUGGGAAUGAGACAAGGCCCAAACUCCUACGGGAGGCAGCAGGAGGGAACUUUCGGCAAUGGACGAAAGUCUGACCGAGCAACGCCGCGUGAGGGAAGAAGGUUCUCGGAUCGUAAAACUCUGUUGGUAGAGAAGAACGUUGGUGAGAGUGGAAAGCUCAUCAAGUGACGGUAACUACCCAGAAAGGGACGGCUAACUACGUG
Molecule: ribosomal RNA, 497 nt
Filed under: uncultured bacterium
Lineage: Bacteria
Description: partial 16S ribosomal RNA
Rfam family: Bacterial small subunit ribosomal RNA
Source: RNAcentral